UAUGUUCUGCUUCAUGAAAGCAGCUAAGAGGGAAGCAGGUUCAAGUCCUGCGCGGUCCCGCCACUGUAAGCGGUAAGUUUUGUCUGUGACGAUAAUAGUCAGCCACUGAAUUUUUGGGAAGGUAAGAUAAAGCGCUUGAACCGCAAGCCAGGAGACCUGCAUAUAA
RNAcentral lists this non-coding RNA (166 nucleotides) under uncultured Eubacterium sp. Lineage: Bacteria; Bacillati; Bacillota; Clostridia; Eubacteriales; Eubacteriaceae. The record is from RNAcentral.